UUGGAGGGCAAGUCUGGUGCCAGCAGCCGCGGUAAUUCCAGCUCCAAUAGCGUAUAUUAAAGUUGUUGCAGUUAAAAAGCUCGUAGUUGAAUUUCGGGGUCAGUAGAUUGGUCGUGCCACUGGUAUGUACUGGUCUUACUGGCUCCUCCUUCCUGAUGAACCGUAAUGCCAUUAAUUUGGUGUUGCGGGGAGACUGGACUGUUACUUUGAAAAAAUUAGAGUGUUUAAAGCAGGCUAACGCUUGAAUACAUUAGCAUGGAAUAAUGAAAUAGGACGUUCGAUCUUAUUUUGUUGGUUUCUAGGAUUGACGUAAUGAUUAAUAGGGAUAGUUGGGGGCAUUAGUAUUCAAUUGUCAGAGGUGAAAUUCUUGGAUUUAUUGAAGACUAACUACUGCGAAAGCAUUUGCCAAGGAUGUUUUCAUUAAUCAAGAACGAAAGUUAGGGGAUCGAAGACGAUCAGAUACCGUCGUAGUCUUAACCAUAAACUAUGCCGACUAGGGAUCGGAUGAUGUUAAUUUUUUAAUGACUCAUUCGGCGCCUUACGGGAAAC
This 549-nucleotide ribosomal RNA is filed under the name uncultured Glomus. RNAcentral's name for it is "SSU rRNA". It matches the Rfam family "Eukaryotic small subunit ribosomal RNA", at positions 548 to 1098 of the family's 1831-position model. Lineage: Eukaryota; Fungi; Glomeromycota; Glomeromycetes; Glomerales; Glomeraceae. The record is from RNAcentral.